GUUUCUGUAGUUGAAUUACAACGGUGGUUUUUCGUAUCACAGGUCUUGGAUAGAUGUUGUCCAGGCAGAAACU
This 73-nucleotide transfer RNA is filed under the name Paroedura masobe. RNAcentral's name for it is "tRNA-Glu". The record is from RNAcentral. Lineage: Eukaryota; Metazoa; Chordata; Lepidosauria; Squamata; Gekkonidae.